UACGUAGGGUGCGAGCGUUAAUCGGAAUUACUGGGCGUAAAGCGUGCGUAGGCGGUUCGCUGUGUCCGAUGUGAAAGCCCCGGGCUUAACCUGGGAAUGGCAUUGGAAACUGGCGGGCUUGAGUGCGGCAGAGGGGGGUGGAAUUCCGCGUGUAGCAGUGAAAUGCGUAGAGAUGCGGAGGAACACCGAUGGCGAAGGCAGCCCCCUGGGCCAACACUGACGCUCAGGCACGAAAGCGUGGGGAGCAAACAGG
This 253-nucleotide ribosomal RNA is filed under the name uncultured bacterium. Its description in RNAcentral is "partial 16S ribosomal RNA". It matches the Rfam family "Bacterial small subunit ribosomal RNA", at positions 524 to 776 of the family's 1533-position model. The record is from RNAcentral.